Molecule: ribosomal RNA, 500 nt
Filed under: uncultured bacterium
Lineage: Bacteria
Description: partial 16S ribosomal RNA
Rfam family: Bacterial small subunit ribosomal RNA
Source: RNAcentral
GACGAACGCUGGCGGCGUGCCUAAUACAUGCAAGUCGAACGAACAGCGACUUGAACUUGUUCAAGUCAAUGUUAGUGGCGCACGGGUGAGUAACACGUGGAGAACCUACCCUUAAGCGGGGGAUAACCAUUGGAAACGAUGACUAAUACCGCAUAGAAUCACAGAUCACAUGAUCAAUGAAGGAAAGACGGCUUCGGCUGUCACUUAAGGAUGGCUCCGCGGUGCAUUAGCUAGAUGGUGGGGUAAAGGCCUACCAUGGCAAUGAUGCAUAGCCGACCUGAGAGGGUGAUCGGCCACAUUGGGACUGAGAAACGGCCCAAACUCCUACGGGAGGCAGCAGUAGGGAAUCUUCCGCAAUGGGCGCAAGUCUGACGGAGCAACGCCGCGUGUGUGAAGAAGGUCUUCGGAUCGUAAAACACUGUUUUUAGGGAAGAACGACCGGGUAAGUAACUGUUAACGGAGUGACGGUAUCUAACCAGAAAGCCACGGCUAACUACGUG